UUGAUCAUGGCUCAGAAUCAACGCUGGCGGCGUGCCUCAGACAUGCAAGUCGAACGAUUAAAGCUCCCUUCGGGGAGUGCAUAGAGUGGCGCACGGGUGAGUAACACGUAAGUAAUCUACCCUCGGGUGGGGAAUAACGUUCGGAAACGAACGCUAAUACCGCAUAAUGCAGCGGCACCGCAAGGUGACAGUUGUUAAAGAUUUAUUGCCUGGGGAGGAGCUUGCGGCAGAUUAGCUUGUUGGUAAGGUAACGGCUUACCAAGGCUACGAUCUGUAUCCGGUCUAAGAGGACGGUCGGACACACUGACACUGAAUAACGGGUCAGACUCCUACGGGAGGCAGCAGUCGGGAAUUUUGGGCAAUGGGGGAAACCCUGACCCAGCAACGCCGCGUGAAGGAUGAAGUAUUUCGGUAUGUAAACUUCGAAAGAAUAGGAAGAAUUAAUGACGGUACUAUUUAUAAGGUCCGGCUAACUACGUGCCAGCAGCCGCGGUAAUACGUAGGGACCAAGCGUUGUUCGGAUUUACUGGGCGUAAAGGGCGCGUAGGCGGCGCGGUAAGUCACUUGUGAAAUCUCCGGGCUUAACUCGGAACGGCCAAGUGAAACUGUGGAGCUAGAGUGUGGAAGGGGCAAUCGGAAUUCUUGGUGUAGCGGUGAAAUGCGUAGAUAUCAAGAGGAACACCUGAGGUGAAGACGGGG
This 699-nucleotide ribosomal RNA is filed under the name uncultured bacterium. RNAcentral's name for it is "bacterial SSU rRNA". It matches the Rfam family "Bacterial small subunit ribosomal RNA", at positions 13 to 726 of the family's 1533-position model. The record is from RNAcentral.